AUUGAACGCUGGCGGCAGGCCUAACACAUGCAAGUCGAACGGUAACAGGAAGCAGCUUGCUGCUUCGCUGACGAGUGGCGGACGGGUGAGAAAUGUCCGUGAAGCUGCCUGAUGGCGGGGGAUAACUACUGGAAACGGUAGCUAAUACCGCAUAAUGUCGCAAGUCCAAAGCGGGGGACCUUCGGGCCUCUUGCCCUCGGAUGUGCCCAGAUGGGAUUCGCUUGUUGGUGGGGUAACGGCUCACCAAGGCGACGAUCCCUAGCGGGUCUGAGAGGAUGGCCAGCCACACUGGAACUGAGACACGGUCCAGACUCCUACGGGAGGCAGCAGUGGGGAAUAUUGCACAAUGGGCGCAAGCCUGAUGCAGCCAUGCCGCGUGUAUGAAGAAGGCCUUCGGGUUGUAAAGUACUUUCAGCGGGGAGGAAGGGAGUAAAGUUAAUACCGUGGCUCAUUGACGUUACCCGCAGAAGAAGCACCGGCUAACUCCGUG
This 490-nucleotide ribosomal RNA is filed under the name uncultured bacterium. RNAcentral describes it as "partial 16S ribosomal RNA". It matches the Rfam family "Bacterial small subunit ribosomal RNA", at positions 30 to 507 of the family's 1533-position model. The record is from RNAcentral.